UACGUAGGGUGCAAGCGUUGUCCGGAAUUAUUGGGCGUAAAGAGCUCGUAGGCGGUCUGUUGCGUCGGCUGUGAAAACCCGGGGCUCAACUCCGGGCCUGCAGCCGAUACGGGCAGACUAGAGUUCGGCAGGGGAGACUGGAAUUCCUGGUGUAGCGGUGAAAUGCGCAGAUAUCAGGAGGAACACCGAUGGCGAAGGCAGGUCUCUGGGCCAUAACUGACGCUGAGAAGCGAAAGCAUGGGGAGCGAACAGG
This 253-nucleotide ribosomal RNA is filed under the name uncultured bacterium. RNAcentral describes it as "partial 16S ribosomal RNA". It matches the Rfam family "Bacterial small subunit ribosomal RNA", at positions 524 to 776 of the family's 1533-position model. The record is from RNAcentral.